RNA transcript from Cannabis sativa, 5967 nucleotides. It is a transcript of the gene named histone-lysine N-methyltransferase, H3 lysine-9 specific SUVH6, with no coding region annotated. NCBI's taxonomy places the organism in Eukaryota, Viridiplantae, Streptophyta, Magnoliopsida, Rosales, Cannabaceae. The transcript is spliced from 8 exons. The record is from RefSeq and is a predicted model, not a curated record.
UAAUUUUUAAAAAUUAAUUUAAGUUAAUUUUUUAUUAAUAUUAAAAAUGUACUUAUAAAUUCCAAAUAAAAUUUCUGGUAAUUGUAAAUGGUGUGCCAGAGGUGAUUCAUCUCAUCUUUCCAAACUCGUUCUUUCCUUUCAAUUGUCAAAAAGGCUGUCCACGCCUCCCAAAAAUCCUUUAUAUCAAACACAAUGUAAAUCCAUGUUACAAUCGAGACCCCGUCCCUUUCAUUGAAACUUCUUCUACGAUUCUCUUCGAUCAGGUUCUCUGAUCUAAGAAAGGCUUUGGUGCUUUGCAAGUGGGAAUUUUAGUCUCAACUUCUGCAGCAACUUAUCACUUGAUCCUUUCAUGUACAUUGGAGGAAAGUAAGUUCUGAGACUUUGUGUGCUGCGGUGAUAAUGGAAGGUUGAUAACUUGCGUGUUUUAGUGAUUUUCCUAAACUCGCCAAUCACCAUCAUCGUCGGUGGUGGUGAAGGUGACCCAUAAUCAAACCUCACUCUAUCAAUGUGUUACUGGUUGCAUUCAAUCAAUAAUCUUAAAUCGUCUACUUUCAGUUCUAAGGAAAAGGAUCAUCAGUAUAGUUUGAGAAAAUAAUAUGAAGAAAAAGAAGAAAAGAAGUCAACUGCAUGGAUCAUUUUUAGAAUAAUUCAUUUAUUUAUUUUCCUCUCCUUUGCUGAUUCUUUUUUCAUCUUUAUGCUAAUUAUUUGUUCUGAAAUCUUUGGUUGGCUUAUUCUUUAUGCUGAUAAGGAGUAUACAUUUCUCUAGUUUGUAUACCUAUAUAUGCUAUUAGUUAAAUUAAUAAAACAAAAACUCGAGAUAUGCACACAUUGUGUAUAAUAUAUUUCCCUUGUAAUAUCUAGAAAAAUCGUAUGAAGUGGGUCCAAUUUUUUCCCUUUUCAAUUAAUUGUCCAUUUCUUUACUAUAAUCGAAAAUUGUGGUAAUACCAACAUUUUCUAGUUGACACUAUACUUGUAUAUAUUCCUUCUGUUCAAGUCUUGUCUUAGAGUUAGUUGAGAAUGUCAGGUGAAAUGGACUCAUUAACGAGGUCAUUUGAGUGUGUCUCUACUCUUAUCAGAGGGGAAAAUGAGGCAUAGGUAAGCUCUCUCUCCAUUGAUUGAGGAUGUACAACUUCAAGUUCAGGAUGCUCCCGAUGCAUUUCCAGACACUAUUCUAUAAUAAGUUACAGGCUGAAAAAAAUGACGAUUGUCAUGUGCUAUUGAGGUUCUUCAAGGCAAGAAAGUCUUAUUUGAAUAUACACCAGGGGUGUGGAUGUUGGAUAUGGUUUAAGGAAGGAGGAGAUCGGGGUAAGUUGAUAACUUGAUACCAAUAAAAUAUUGCAAGUUACAGUCAUGGACUGAUAAGUGGCAUACCAUGUUCAGGAAAAUGAGAAAAAUCUGUGCAACAAAAUUUUCAGCUUCUACCAUUUGCAGCAUUUAGACACGUAAGAUUCAAGCCCAAUAAUCUUAGUUGUUCAUGGCUUAGUAUGUUGCAUAUGACCAUUUAUCCUUGCAAUUUCUAUAAUAAGCAUAUUUUCCACAAUUGCAUUCUCCAACAUUUUUGAAUAAUGAUGUGGAGAACUUUAUAAAGACUACAAUAGGAACUGAUUACAUCUGCAGAAGAUUGAUGGUGACAGCCAACUAUCCUGAGGUAUGAAAUCCUAGCCAUCUCCAUAUUUUUUGUUUUAUUUAAUCCAUUUGUAAACUAAUCCUAAGGGUGCGUCUUGAAGGCGACACUGCAAUUGGAAUUGAGUGUAAUUUGGAGUAAUUACUAGGUUUGACAUGUUUGUUUAACCAGAUAAUUAAACAACAAUCAUGUAAUUGGAUGAAAAUAAUUACUCUUUUAAAUAAUUAGUCAUUACACAAUGUUAUUUUCUAUGUAAUUACUAACUCUUUUGUCAACCAUGAAAAUAAGAUUUCAUGUGAUUACCACUUGACAAUCUUGUAUCUGAAAAUAGUGUAUUUACUAUGUUGUGUAUUAUGAGCUUUGUAUUUACACUGUCUCGUUAAUUACAUAGUGAUUUCCAAACACAAUCAAUUUAAUUAAAGGGUAUGUGUUAUUGCUUUCUCCAUAAGAAGUGUCUGUAUUUUUGUAUUUGAUAAUUGAUUCAGACUCUUUGCCAAUUUUUUUGUCAUCAGUGUUGGUCUUGAAUUAAAACUAGUGUGGAAGGCUGUAAAGUUAUACAUAGGUUCCCAAAACGACGUAAAAGUUCAUGCAUGCAAAUUUUCUAGGUUUCAUCUGUCUCAUAAAUGUUAUUUAAUACCUGUGGCUUUACAAUCUGUACAUGGAAAAUUUGUGGUUCUUGGAUAUAAAUACCAUACACAUUAGUUGAGAUCAUUGAUGGCAGGUAAUUGGGAUCAUGGAUGUGGGUUUAGAAACAGAGAAUAUUAUUUCCUUGGCUUGCAUUGAAUGUGUACAUUGUUACUCUUAUAUAUAGAGACAAAGAAUACAAGAAAGGGAGACUGUGCAAAAUCAGGAUACUACAUACUACCAAGAUCCUAUUUGAUAUCAUCGACCAAAUCAAUUAAGCUUGAAAUUGUUGCUGAUUUUCCCUUGUAGAGAAUCACAUGUACUCUAUACGCAUAAAAGGCGUUAAACUCAAUAUCAUUGCUGAUUUUCCACAUUUGGAUUUGGUUUAUUUUCUAAGUUAGCAUAUUGCCUUUUAUAAUUUGUCUAAAGUGGAUUGACUAGUAUUAUUCUCUUCAUUUAUUUUUGGAUUAUUUCUUUUUUCUCCCUAAAAUAUAAGGCAGUGGUUUCUUAACCUAGCCUACAAAUGUAUCGGUAUCACUUCUCCUACAAAGUAAUAUACAAUUUUUUGCAGCAGCCUUCUCUUUUCUUUCUUUGCAUGUUUUGUCCUUCAUUAAUUGUCUCCUACCUACCUGGUUUCAUGGUAUUAGAGUUAGGUUCAGUUAAGCAAAAGCUGUACAAGACAACAUUGACUGGUGACCGAUGAGAGUAGGGAUCGAUGGUUCCUCUAAGGUCUGAAGACUACUCAGGCCUACCUAGCCAAUAUGAGAUGCACACAAUGCUAUGGUUAUGACAUGGAUUGUGAACUAUGGAGGAAAAUGUCAAAGAGUCUUCUCUGUAUUUUUCCACUGCAAAAUAAAUAUGGGGUGGUUUGACUUUAGCUUCUUUUUCUUUAUUUGGACAGUUCUGCUCAACUUCUUGAUGUUUGACAUAGAUGGGAGAACUAAAACAAAGAGAACGUGGUGUCACUGAAUAUUUCAAUGCCCCGGUCAGAUUGUGGCAGUAGGAUCAACCGGUUCGUUCGUUAUAGAGUAGUGCUGAAAAAUAUAAGAAAAAAGGUUGAAAGAGAUAUAAGAUUUUGUUUGGCAUGUGUUUUGAUUCAGAUCUUGAUGAAGUUAGGGGUUGAUUUGUAACAGCUCGAAGAGAGGAAAGCCAUAUACAAGCUAUGUUGGGGGAACGCAAAUCAUCACUAUGAGUAUGAGAGGCACCUGCUCUAGUUGCAUCUGGCCAGGAACCUCCUAAGAACCAUAGAAGGAACAAUAUGUAGUAUCAUUUCUUCUUCUUUUUUUUUUUUUAAACAAAUCACACCAGAGAUUGAUGUUGGAAGCUAUAUGGUAAACCUUCUCAAUUGGAAAGAUAACAAGCUGGUAGCCGUGAGUCAUCUGGAUAUCACAGAUUCAGACUGAGAACUCAAAUCCACCAAGCUGAAGGAGAGUACUUAUUUCGGAGGCAGUACACAAUAUUUUCUCACCAAGAAACAAUAAACACAACUCUACAAGCUGCUCACACCUCUGUUGAUAGCGACAAACACUUCUUUAUUGGCACAACAAGGACCUGACUUAAAGAAAAUAUGAGCCUAAUUACUACUUUGAUAAAGAAGUUACUUCGAAUCAACAAGCUCAAAUUGUGAGUUGUGAGUUUAUUUCAAGGGAACAAAAAAUAGUAGUGGCAUCCUAAGACUAGGUCCCCAAGUAUUUCAUAUAUAGAAAUUUUGUUUCCUUCAUUAUUUUCUCAAUAGUAAUGUUUUGAAGGUGGAUUUCGUCAAAUAUCCAGACGAGGUAUACCUACUCUCUGAUCAUGCAAGAUUGAGGAAGAUAAAAAGUUAGUAGAAACAAAUGCUACAUGAGUAAAAAUAUAGAAAAGGGAUGCAAUAAAGACUAUGUUUUGUCAAGAUUGUAUCAGGGUAAGACUUGUGUAGAUAUUCAACACCCUUGUGAAAUAAAGUUUGAAACAUGCUCGAGUAGUCCAUGCACAACCUUGCUGCUGCUUUACUUAGUAGCGAAAAUAAGCUUAUUACUAGUGAUAAUAAUAGUAGUAGUGAUGAAUACUUACAAGAAUCAUGGGUUUCCAUCUUAAAACCAAUUGGUGAUGAGUGGGUAGGUUAUGUUCUUAUAUAUGGUUCAAUAUUUUUACAUUUAAUCUAUGUGAGACAAUGUUGUCCAAUAAAUACACACCUGGUGAGCAAAGAAAAUUCAGAAUUUUUAUUUUUAUAUUUUUUUUGUAAAAACAAAAUUUUAGUGUAUGUUUUGUGAACAUUAUCUUGUUAUAAAUAUUACAGGAAGGUUUAAAGUUUGUGCUAAAAGAAGUGGUUAUGAUUUAGUUGGAGAAUCUGUUAAUCAAAAUAAGAGGCAGUUUGCAAUGACUCCAGCUGAUAGAAAGAAAGCUUUAUCUAGGACUCAAAACUUCAAAUCCAAAAAUCCAUGUUUCAAAGUUGCCUUACAAAAGACACAUGUGCAACUUUUUGACAUGGUAUUCUUUUCUUUUUAAAACCAUCUUAUCUUAGACUCAAUUCAUGUGCAUUUGAAAUCAUCUUAGACUCAAUUAAAGGAUCCUCAACUUUUUUGUUUUUUCUUUUCUCAUAUUUGUAAUGUAUUUUUAAUUAAUUUGUUCAUUUGUUUAACGGUUAUUGUAGACAUUACAAGUAGAAUUUUGGAGAAACAAUAUCGGUAAUGAAAAAAGUAAACAUGAUGUUACUAUAUGUGUUCUUCCUGAGAAGAAGAAAUUACUAGCCAUGCUACACGACCAAGAACUUACUUCGGCAAAAGAGACUGGAAGGAAUUCAUUGAGAAGAAUGAUUUGAAAAUUGAUGAUUCAUUAAUAUAUGAAUUGAUUGAAAAACUGAACAAAUCAUUAUGUUCAACAUUAUCAUAUUCCGAGCCAUCGAAUGUGAUCGAAACAGCCAACAAUUACAAUCUCAUCAUCAAGGUAACAAUAUUAGAAAUUCUGGGAUGACCAAUUCCAAAGAUUACAACAGCAAGCCUUCAUCUUCAAAGGGUGACAAGUUUUUGUGAGAAGAAAUCAAACUAUCUUAUCCCAAUUUUGAAGUCACAUCGGGGGAAUCUAUUGAUGAGAUGCUGAAAAUUUCCUAUGUGAGGACUUAUUUUCAAGUGAAGCCAAAAACUGUAACACGUGGUAGAUGGUCUAAAUUUGCAAGGAAGAACCGGCUACAUCCUGGAGAUUCAUGUGUAUUUGAGAUUGUUAGCAACGAAAUGGAUCAUACUUUGCUCAAAGUUACCAUUACUUUUGAUGUGAAUUGUUAGAUUAGACCACAUUUACAAGUACUUGGAAUCUAAGUAUCAUUGACAGCUAACUUUUCAUCUGUGCGAGAAGUGUUUGUUUUGAUUUCGAAGUUCUUGGAGUUAGUUUUUAGAAAAUUUGGAUGAAUUUGAAGCUUGUUACUAUUUGCAAGGAAACUGAUUAGAGGCUGUUUUAAGGUGGCCUUGAAUGUAGAAAUGUUCAAUGUAGAUUAGAUCACAUUCACUAGUACUUAGAAUCCAAGUAUUAAUGACAGUAGUAGUCUUAAUUUCCUCUCAACAAAAGAGACUUAAGUGUUUGUUAAUGUUUUGAUAGAAGUUCCUGAAGUUAGUUUUUAGAGAAUUUUAAUUAUGUUUUUAUUUGUGUGAAGCUUGUUAUUAUGGGGAUGGAAACUGAUUAGAAGUUAUAUUAAGCUAGGCUUGAUUGUAUAAAUGAUCAAUGUUUAAUUAUAGGUUAUUGUUGAGGAA